CUGCAUGUUAAAAAACGCAAUUCUGCUCCUCAUUCCCAUGAGGAACAUGAAUAUAUGUAACAUGCUACAGAAAACAAGGAGUUUUCAGGGCUGCCAGUCUUGCAGUAAAGACUGAGUGGUAGUAUAGGUCUCCUACAUCU
Molecule: small nucleolar RNA, 140 nt
Filed under: Acanthisitta chloris (rifleman)
Lineage: Eukaryota; Metazoa; Chordata; Aves; Passeriformes; Acanthisittidae
Description: Small nucleolar RNA U109
Rfam family: Small nucleolar RNA U109
Source: Rfam by way of RNAcentral